This is a long non-coding RNA of Papaver somniferum (opium poppy), 1741 nucleotides long. RefSeq lists it as uncharacterized. NCBI's taxonomy places the organism in Eukaryota, Viridiplantae, Streptophyta, Magnoliopsida, Ranunculales, Papaveraceae. The record is from RefSeq and is a predicted model, not a curated record. The transcript is spliced from 8 exons.
CCCAUAAUUUGUAGUUCAAUCUCUUUCUUUCGUUAUCCAUUAAUUCCAUUUUUUUCAUUAACAUUUCAUAGUCGUUCCAUAAUCCCAUUCAACCAAUUUCAGAAUUUCUGAAAUCGGGAACGACUCUAGGUUUUCCCUAAUGAUGAGAUUUCCGCUCGGAUUGAUUUAUCAGUGAAAUUACACCAAAAUAAACGCAUGCCACGGAUUUAAUUGCCUUCUGCCUCUAUAAAUUGUCAUUGAAAUAUAGAACAACAUCAGUCUCACCGAUUCAACAUCUACCCAAACAAAGAAAUAAAUGACAUCACAGGUUACCUGCAAACUUCAAAAGGUAGGAUCCUGAGCCUCAAAUGACACACUCAAGAGCUUACAAUCGCUUGACGAAGGAAAAACAAGCAUCACCGUGUUUACCAGGAAAUGGGAAGAGUUGGACUUCAUGUCAACCAACGACGUUACCAGCAUUGGGAGAAGAGUCGCAUGCCGUCAUACGCAAGAAUCUUAUUUGGAAGUUUGAUAAGCAGAUUCGGGAGGUGUGUCUGUACUCUAUAGAGAAACUACACUUGACCAUUGCUAAACCCAAGAUCCGUCCUGCGCACAAUGAGAAACGGGGAUUCUUCCGGUGCACCACUUCCGUCACCGCUUUGGAUGCCUAUUCUGUGGCCAUUAUUCCCCACCUUCAGAACAUACAUCUUACAGAUGUGGUUGGUUUCUUGAAAACAGUCACCAACAUCCAGUUGCUUCAAAGGUCCGGUGGGCAAUCAAGACGAAUGUGCGAGAUCACAAUUGAAAAUCUUAGGGGCACAACUAUGAAAAUUGCUCUAUGGGGUUCUGCCGCCAACCAAGUAGGGAAUGACCCAAUUGAUUGCGAUUCCAUCCCCCCGUCCUGUGUUGGUUGCCAUUUGCUCCAUUUUUUUUAAGAACUACCAAGGCAUCCAAAGGGUCAUGGAGAAUCACCCUAUCUUCGACAAAGGCCACCAAAUUGUACACGGAUGCAGACAUACCGGAAGUCACCCUAUCUUCGACAAAGGCCACCAAAUUGUACACGGAUGCAGACAUACCGGAAGUUGUUGAAAUGCGAGAAAGGUGCCCUUAUGCUAGACCACCGCGCCAUAUUACAGUACCGAUUAAGAAAUGAAAAGUGCAUAUACAUAUCGAUCCUGACAACAUAAAAAAAAUAUCUCAGGUUCUCUGUGCCAAAUCGGAUCCAACCGGCCAGGCCGUUAAUGUGCUCAUAUGUAACGCCACCGCAACCCAUGUGCUGAUUGAAAAUGGGUGGCACUAUCUUGCAUUCCCUCGGUGUAGCAAGAAGGUUAUGGGUGAUGAUGGAGACCUUUGCAUCAGAGACUACUGUUUUGCGGUAAAAACUGAUUCUGCUGGAAAUAGUAAAUUUGGGUGUGCCGCCGAGAAACAAAUCUAAACCCUAAACAAAUGCACACGGGAGUAUUUUAGAUUCGAGAGAUCAAUCUGUACAAUUCUGGCCUAAACUAAGAAAUGGCAGUUCCAACCUUGCUUCGGUCACAAAGUGAAGGAGAAGGGUUGAUCUUAGGGAGGGAAGCGAAUAAGGUGUUGAGAUCAGAAUGGUUAACUCUGAAGGUGUGAUUGUUUUAUGACUUGUAUCAGAAUGUGGAACUCGCUUGCGGAAUACAAGCUAUGAGUUCUUUGGUGUUUUUCUGGAUACUUGUGUUGAUAACCAAUGUUGGUUGAAACAGGUUGGAAACCUAUUUAUAUCAGUCAUAGUUGCGCG